GAGUUUGAUCGUGGCUCAGGAUGAACGCUGGCGGCGUGCCUAACACAUGCAAGUCGAACGAAGCGAUUUAACGGAAGUUUUCGGAUGGAAGUUGGAUUGACUGAGUGGCGGACGGGUGAGUAACGCGUGGGUAACCUGCCUUGUACUGGGGGACAACAGUUAGAAAUGACUGCUAAUACCGCAUAAGCGCACAGUAUCGCAUGAUACAGUGUGAAAAACUCCGGUGGUACAAGAUGGACCCCGCGUCUGAUUAGCUAGUUGGUAAGGUAACGGCUUACCAAGGCGACGAUCAGUAGCCGACCUGAGAGGGUGACCGGCCACAUUGGGACUGAGACACGGCCCAAACUCCUACGGGAGGCAGCAGUGGGAAUAUUGCACAAUGGGCGAAAGCCUGAUGCAGCGACGCCGCGUGAGUGAA
This 418-nucleotide ribosomal RNA is filed under the name uncultured bacterium. Its description in RNAcentral is "bacterial SSU rRNA". It matches the Rfam family "Bacterial small subunit ribosomal RNA", at positions 9 to 409 of the family's 1533-position model. The record is from RNAcentral.